This 564-nucleotide ribosomal RNA is filed under the name uncultured bacterium. Its description in RNAcentral is "bacterial SSU rRNA". It matches the Rfam family "Bacterial small subunit ribosomal RNA", at positions 338 to 916 of the family's 1533-position model. The record is from RNAcentral.
CCUACGGGAGGCAGCAGUGGGGAAUAUUGCGCAAUGGGCGAAAGCCUGACGCAGCGACGCCGCGUGUGGGAUGAAGGUCUUCGGAUCGUAAACCACUGUCGGGAGGGACGAAGUUCUGACGGUACCUCCAAAGGAAGCACCGGCUAACUCCGUGCCAGCAGCCGCGGUAAUACGGAGGGUGCAAGCGUUGUUCGGAAUUACUGGGCGUAAAGCGCGUGUAGGCGGCCUUGCAAGCCAGACGUGAAAGCCCUCGGCUUAACCGGGGAAGUGCGUCUGGAACUGCUCGGCUCGAGUACGGGAGAGGGAGGCGGAAUUCCCAGUGUAGAGGUGAAAUUCGUAGAUAUUGGGAGGAACACCGGUGGCGAAAGCGGCCUCCUGGACCGAUACUGACGCUGAGACGCGAAAGCGUGGGGAGCAAACAGGAUUAGAUACCCUGGUAGUCCACGCGGUAAACGAUGGGCACUAGGUGUGGGGGGUAUCCACUCCUCCCGUGCCGCAGCUAACGCACUAAGUGCCCCGCCUGGGGAGUACGGCCGCAAGGUUAAAACUCAAAGGAAUUGACGG